This 469-nucleotide ribosomal RNA is filed under the name uncultured bacterium. RNAcentral's name for it is "bacterial SSU rRNA". It matches the Rfam family "Bacterial small subunit ribosomal RNA", at positions 28 to 491 of the family's 1533-position model. The record is from RNAcentral.
GAUGAACGCUAGCGGCAGGCUUAACACAUGCAAGUCGAGGGGCAGCACGGGUAGCAAUACCUGGUGGCGACCGGCGCAAGGGUGCGUAACGCGUGAGCAACAUGCCCUAUACAGGGGGAUAAUCCAGGGAAACUUGGUCUAAUAUCCCAUAGUAUUUAGAGGAGGCAUCUUCUAUAAAUUAAAGCUUCGGUGGUAUAGGAUUGGCUCGCGUGACAUUAGCUAGAUGGUGAGGUAACGGCUCACCAUGGCAAUGAUGUCUAGGGGUUCUGAGAGGAAGGCCCCCCACACUGGGACUGAGACACGGCCCAGACUCCUACGGGAGGCAGCAGUGAGGAAUAUUGGACAAUGGAUGGAAAUCUGAUCCAGCCAUGCCGCGUGCAGGAAGACAGCCCUAUGGGGUUGUAAACUGCUUUUAUAUGGGAGCAAUAAGGUCUACGUGUAGACUGAUGAGAGUACCAUAUGAAUAAGC